GAGUUUGAUCGUGGCUCAGAUUGAACGCUGGCGGCAUGCCUUACACAUGCAAGUCGAACGGCAGCACGGGAGCUUGCUCCUGGUGGCGAGUGGCGAACGGGUGAGUAAUGCAUCGGAACGUAUCCUGGAGUGGGGGAUAACGUAGCGAAAGUUACGCUAAUACCGCAUAUUCUGUGAGCAGGAAAGCGGGGGACCUUCGGGCCUCGCGCUCUUGGAGCGGCCGAUGUCGGAUUAGCUAGUUGGUGAGGUAAAGGCUCACCAAGGCGACGAUCCGUAGCAGGUCUGAGAGGAUGAUCUGCCACACUGGAACUGAGACACGGUCCAGACUCCUACGGGAGGCAGCAGUGGGAAUUUUGGACAAUGGGGGCAACCCUGAUCCAGCCAUGCCGCGUGAGU
This 396-nucleotide ribosomal RNA is filed under the name bacterium enrichment culture clone ALO1_GLFRUDD03GA6FO. RNAcentral describes it as "bacterial SSU rRNA". It matches the Rfam family "Bacterial small subunit ribosomal RNA", at positions 9 to 406 of the family's 1533-position model. The record is from RNAcentral.